UUAAAACAAGCUUUUAAGAGCAGAUGGCGGAUGCCUUGCCAAAGAGAGGCGAUGAAGGACGUACUAGACUGCGAUAAGCUAUGCGGAGCUGUCAAGGAGCUUUGAUGCGUAGAUGUCCGAAUGGGGCAACCCAACUAAUAGAGAUAUUAGUUACUCUAAUUUAGAGAGCGAACCUAGUGAAGUGAAACAUCUCAGUAACUAGAGGAAAAGAAAUCAACGAGAUUCCCUAAGUAGUGGCGAGCGAACGGGGAAAAGGGCAAACCGAGUGCUUGCAUUCGGGGUUGAGGACUGCAACAUCCAAGAGAACGCUUUAGCAGAGUUACCUGGAAAGGUAAGCCAUAGAAAGUGAUAGCCUUGUAUGCGACAAGGCGUUCUUAGGUAGCAGUAUCCAGAGUAGGCCAGGACACGAGAAAUCCAGGUUGAAGCCGGGGAGACCACUCUCCAACCCUAAAUACUACUCUUUGAGCGAUAGCGAACAAGUACCGUGAGGGAAAGGUGAAAAGAACCGCAGUGAGCGGAGUGAAAUAGAACCUGAAACCAUCUGCUUACAAUCAUUCAGAGCCCUAUGAUUUAUCAGGGUGAUGGACUGCCUUUUGCAUAAUGAUCCUGCGAGUUGUGGUAUCUGGCAAGGUUAAGCGAAUGCGAAGCCGUAGCGAAAGCGAGUCUUAAUAGGGCGACUAAGUCAGAUGCUGCAGACCCGAAGCUAAGUGAUCUAUCCAUGGCCAAGUUGAAACGCGUGUAAUAGCGCGUGGAGGACUGAACUCGUACCCAUUGAAACGGGUUGGGAUGAGCUGUGGAUAGGGGUGAAAGGCCAAACAAACUUAGUGAUAGCUGGUUCUCUUCGAAAUAUAUUUAGGUAUAGCCUCAAGUGAUAAUAAAAGGGGGUAGAGCCCUGAUUGGGCUAGGGCUGCUCGCCGCGGUACCAAACCCUAUCAAACUUCGAAUACCUUUUAUCGUAUCUUGGGAGUCAGGCGGUGGGUGAUAAAAUCAAUCGUCAAAAGGGGAACAACCCAGACUACCAAAUAAGGUCCCUAAGUUCUAUUCUGAGUGGAAAAAGAUGUGUGGCUACUCAAACAACCAGGAGGUUGGCUUAGAAGCAGCCAUCCUUUAAAGAAAGCGUAACAGCUCACUGGUCUAGUGGUCAUGCGCUGAAAAUAUAACGGGGCUAAGAUAGACACCGAAUUUGUAGAUUGUGUUAAACACAGUGGUAGAAGAGCGUUCAUACCAGCGUUGAAGGUAUACCGGUAAGGAGUGCUGGAGCGGUAUGAAGUGAGCAUGCAGGAAUGAGUAACGAUAAGAUAUAUGAGAAUUGUAUCCGCCGUAAAUCUAAGGUUUCCUACGCGAUGGUCGUCAUCGUAGGGUUAGUCGGGUCCUAAGCCGAGUCCGAAAGGGGUAGGUGAUGGCAAAUUGGUUAAUAUUCCAAUACCGACUAUGGAGCGUGAUGGGGGGACGCAUAGGGUUAAGCGAGCUAGCUGAUGGAAGCGCUAGUCUAAGGGCGUAGAUUGGAGGGAAGGCAAAUCCACCUCUGUAUUUGAAACCCAAACAGGCUCUUUGAGUCCUUUCAGGACAAAGGGAGAAUCGCUGAUACCGUCGUGCCAAGAAAAGCCUCUAAGCAUAUCCAUAGUCGUCCGUACCGCAAACCGACACAGGUAGAUGAGAUGAGUAUUCUAAGGCGCGUGAAAGAACUCUGGUUAAGGAACUCUGCAAACUAGCACCGUAAGUUCGCGAUAAGGUGUGCCGCAGCAAUGCGGUCUCAGCAAAGAGUCCCUCCCGACUGUUUACCAAAAACACAGCACUUUGCCAACUCGUAAGAGGAAGUAUAAGGUGUGACGCCUGCCCGGUGCUCGAAGGUUAAGAGGAUGCGUCAGUCGCAAGAUGAAGCGUUGAAUUGAAGCCCGAGUAAACGGCGG
This 1910-nucleotide ribosomal RNA is filed under the name Helicobacter pylori FD506. RNAcentral's name for it is "bacterial LSU rRNA". It matches the Rfam family "Bacterial large subunit ribosomal RNA", at positions 1 to 1933 of the family's 2925-position model. Lineage: Bacteria; Pseudomonadati; Campylobacterota; Epsilonproteobacteria; Campylobacterales; Helicobacteraceae. The record is from RNAcentral.